Long non-coding RNA from Ictalurus punctatus (channel catfish), 1429 nucleotides. The record is from Ensembl. NCBI's taxonomy places the organism in Eukaryota, Metazoa, Chordata, Actinopteri, Siluriformes, Ictaluridae.
AAUGUUAGUGUCUGUGGUGUUGGAGGUUGUUAAUGUUAGUGUCUGUGGUGUUGGAGGAGGUGGUUAAUGUUAGAGUCUGUGGUGUUGGAGGUUGUUAAUGUUAGUGUCUGUGGUGUUGGAGGAGGUUGUUAAUGUUAGUGUCUGUGGUGUUGGAGGAGGUUAAUGUUAGAGUCUGUGGUGUUGGAGGUUGUUAAUGUCUGUGGUGUUGGAGGUUGGUAAUGCUAGUGUCUGUGGUGUUGGAUUUUGUUAAUGUUAGUGUCUGUGGUGUUGGACGUUGUUAAUGGUAGUGUCUGUGGUGUUGCAGGAGGUUGUUAAUGUUAGUGUCUGUGGUGCUGGAGGAGGUUGUUAAUGUUAGUGUCUGUGGUGCUGGAGGAGGUUGUUAAUGUUAGUGUCUGUGGUGUUGGAGGUUGUUACUGUUAGUGUCUGUGGUGUUGGAGGAGGUUAAUGUUAGAGUCUGUGGUGUUGGAGGUUGUUAAUGUUAGUGUCUGUGGUGUUGGAGGUUGUUAAUGUUAGUGUCUGUGGUGUUAGAGGUUGUUAUUAAUGUUACUGUCUGUGGUCCUGGAGGUUGUUAUUAAUGUUACUGUCUGUGGUGUUUGAAGUUGUUAAUGUUAGUGUCUGUGGUGUUGAAGGUUGUUAUUAAUGUUAAUGUCUGUGGUGUUGGAGGUUGUUAAUGUUAGUGUCUGUGGUGUUGGAGGCUGUUAAUGUUAGCGUCUGUGGUGUUGAAGGUUGUUAUUAAUGUUAGUGUCUGUGGUGUUGGAGGUUGUUAAUGUUAGUGUCUGUGGUGUUGGAGGUUGUUAAUGUUAGUGUCUGUGGUGUUAGAGGUUGUUAUUAAUGUUAGUGUCUGUGGUGUUGGAGGUUGUUAAUGUUAGUGUCUGUGGUGUUGGAGGUUGUUAAUGUUAGAGCCUGUGGUGUUGGAGGUUGUUAAUGUUAGUGUCUGUGGUGUUAGAGGUUGUUAUUAAUGUUAGUGUCUGUGGUGUUGGAGGUUGUUAAUGUUAGUGUCUGUGGUGUUGGAAGUUGUUAAUGUUAGUGUCUGUAUUGUUUGAAGUUGUUAAUGUUAGUGUCUGUGGUGUUGGACGUUGUUAAUGUUAGUGUCUGUGGUGUUGGAGGUUGUUAUUAAUGUUACUGUCUGUGGUGUUGGAGGUUGUUAAUGUUAGUGUCUGUAUUGUUGGAAGUUGUUAAUGUUAGUGUCUGUGGUGUUGGAGGUUGUUAAUGUUAGUGUCUGUUGUGUUGGAGGUUGUUAAUGUUAGUGUCAGUUGUGUUGGAGGUUGCUAAUGUUAGUGUCUGUAGUGUUGGAGGUUGUUAAUGUUAGUGUCUGUUGUGUUGGAGGUUGUUAAUGUUAGUGUCUGUGGUGUAGGAGGUUGUUAAUGUUAGUGUCUGUGGUGUUGGAAGUUGUUAAUGUUAGAGUCUGUGGUGUUGGAAGUUGUUAAUG